RNAcentral lists this ribosomal RNA (253 nucleotides) under uncultured bacterium. RNAcentral's name for it is "partial 16S ribosomal RNA". It matches the Rfam family "Bacterial small subunit ribosomal RNA", at positions 524 to 776 of the family's 1533-position model. The record is from RNAcentral.
UACGAAGGGGGCUAGCGUUGCUCGGAAUCACUGGGCGUAAAGCGCACGUAGGCGGCUUUUUAAGUCAGGGGUGAAAUCCUGGAGCUCAACUCCAGAACUGCCUUUGAUACUGAGAAGCUUGAGUUCGGGAGAGGUGAGUGGAACUGCGAGUGUAGAGGUGAAAUUCGUAGAUAUCCGCAAGAACACCAGUGGCGAAGGCGGCUCACUGGCCCGAUACUGACGCUGAGGUGCGAAAGCGUGGGGAGCAAACAGG